RNAcentral lists this ribosomal RNA (259 nucleotides) under uncultured bacterium. RNAcentral's name for it is "partial 16S ribosomal RNA". It matches the Rfam family "Bacterial small subunit ribosomal RNA", at positions 524 to 776 of the family's 1533-position model. The record is from RNAcentral.
UACAGAGGUCUCGAGCGUUUGUUCGGAUUCAUUUGGGCGUAAAGGGCUCGUAGGCGGUCCAUCGCGUCGGGGAGUGAAAAGCUGGGGGCUCAACCCCCAGUCCUGCUUUCGAUACGGGUGGACUAGAGGUAUGCAGGGGAGAACGGAAUUCCUGGUGUAGCGGUGAAAUGCGCAGAUAUCAGGAGGAACACCGGUGGCGAAGGCGGUUCUCUGGGCAUUACCCUGACGUGAGGAGCGAAAGCGUGGGGGAGCAAACAGG